This is a long non-coding RNA of Chionomys nivalis (European snow vole), 700 nucleotides long. RefSeq lists it as uncharacterized. The transcript is spliced from 5 exons. Lineage: Eukaryota; Metazoa; Chordata; Mammalia; Rodentia; Cricetidae. The record is from RefSeq and is a predicted model, not a curated record.
CGUCGGCGAGCUGAGAGUCUGGUGUCUUCUGUAGGAGCGAUGACGCCAUCUUUUUCUGGGUCUUCAGAGCGGUUGCAGAGAGAUGCCCAGAUGGAGAGAGGCCCGAAUCCAAGAGAAUUAAUAACAAGUAAUUUGUUUAAGACCUGACUCUUUGAAAAGUGAAAGCACAGAUGCCGGCUGCCUAUAAAGUAACUGGAGCUCCUCGGAGAACCGAGUGGCCAGAGACAACAAGCCUUUGCUGACGAAUGAGAAUUGGAGGUGGUGAAAAGGCAGACAAGAAGAUACGCAGUGUUAACUAGCAUGUUUAGAGUUGAGGUCUUUGCACGGCCCUCGCUGUCCUCAUUCCUCCAUCUUCCUAAACACUGGGGACUGUGCCUGCGGAGCCACCUGUGAUACUAGUUUCUAUUGAGUAGAACGUGGGAUCAUGUUUACAGAAAGUUGUGGGUUGUGUGCAAUCAGUGGAUGGGAGUGUUUAGUCAUUGGUCCUGUUGGGUUUAAAUAUGGAUGGAAUUUAAGCUGGGUGAAAAUUUUCAGUGGUUUCAUGAGGAUCUUUACUGGGAUUAUGGCACUUUAGUGAACAGAAUUCAGUGUAAACAGGACAGCAUAUGAUGUGGCCUGUAAGAUUUGUUAUGUCAUAUUUUCUUACGCAGUAGGACUUAACUGCAAAUGCUGCAAUAAAUGUUAAGUUGCAACAACUAUU